AACAGGAUUAGAUACCCUGGUAGUCCACGCCUAAACGAUGUCAACUAGUUGUUGGGGAUUCAUUUCCUCAGUAACGUAGCUAACGCGUGAAGUUUGACCGCCUGGGGAGUACGGUCGCAAGAUUAAAACUCAAAGGAAUUGACGGGGACCCGCACAAGCGGUGGAUGAUGUGGAUUAAUUCGAUGCAACGCGAAAAACCUUACCUACCCUUGACAUGGUCGGAAUCCUGCUGAGAGGUGGGAGUGCUCGAAAGAGAACCGAUACACAGGUGCUGCAUGGCUGUCGUCAGCUAGUGUCGUGAGAUGUUGGGUUAAGUCCCGCAACGAGCGCAACCCUUGUCCUUAGUUGCUACGCAAGAGCACUCUAAGGAGACUGCCGGUGACAAACCGGAGGAAGGUGGGGAUGACGUCAAGUCCUCAUGGCCCUUAUGGGUAGGGCUUCACACGUCAUACAAUGGUCGGAACAGAGGGUUGCCAACCCGCGAGGGGGAGCUAAUCCCAGAAAACCGAUCGUAGUCCGGAUUGCACUCUGCAACUCGAGUGCAUGAAGCUGGAAUCGCUAGA
RNAcentral lists this ribosomal RNA (563 nucleotides) under uncultured Burkholderia sp. RNAcentral describes it as "bacterial SSU rRNA". It matches the Rfam family "Bacterial small subunit ribosomal RNA", at positions 771 to 1339 of the family's 1533-position model. Lineage: Bacteria; Pseudomonadati; Pseudomonadota; Betaproteobacteria; Burkholderiales; Burkholderiaceae. The record is from RNAcentral.